GCCAUCGCUUCGGCGAUGGCAUUUGUUAAACGGAUAAAAAUACAGAGAAGAUUAGGUACGACAUUCCUAAGUUCAUUGCAUCGCGCAGUCGAUAUUAAUUCGAUUACUCCUAUAGCAUGGCCCCUGCGCAAGGAUGACACAUGAAUUUGAUUGGAAAAGAUCACCGUUUUU
This 171-nucleotide small nuclear RNA is filed under the name Bathycoccus prasinos. The record is from RNAcentral. Lineage: Eukaryota; Viridiplantae; Chlorophyta; Mamiellophyceae; Mamiellales; Bathycoccaceae.